CUGCACUGUCUUUGAACCUUGUUGGCCAUAUCUGUGACCUCCUAGGCCAAGCUACAGUGCUAAAACAACACCAGGCUUGUUCAUAACUGGGGCCUCUUGGCAAAACUCCCAGGUUGCUCUUUUAAAAGCAAGUCACAACU
This 140-nucleotide small nucleolar RNA is filed under the name Myripristis murdjan (pinecone soldierfish). The record is from RNAcentral. Lineage: Eukaryota; Metazoa; Chordata; Actinopteri; Holocentriformes; Holocentridae.